This 440-nucleotide long non-coding RNA is filed under the name Elaeis guineensis (African oil palm). RNAcentral describes it as "long non-coding RNA (EGUI_LNC045809)". Lineage: Eukaryota; Viridiplantae; Streptophyta; Magnoliopsida; Arecales; Arecaceae. The record is from RNAcentral.
GGUACAUCAUUCAUCUACUUUCAACCAGUGUUGGCUAUCUCUAUUGUAUGAUCUUCCAUAUAUUGGAACGUAUUGGAAUACCUUUGAGACCAACCUAUCCUUGUUGCUCAUAAUUGUUUUAAUUUUUUGGCCUACUUAUCAACAUUAUAGCUGAAUCUUCUUCCUCUAAGCUAUCCCUCCACACUUGGUGAAAUCUAUCAUGACCAAACUCCAUCAAAUUUGGCAAGGAUCAUGUGGCUUUCGCCUGCUUGACUUUAUCCAUCUUGGUCCACAUGGUGCCUAUUCAAAGCUACUUUCUAGAUUGUUAAGAUGCAAUGUAAACAAUGCCUCCUACAUUUUAUUGGCUAAUGAUCAAGAGAUUGAUAGAAUAUCUAUCAUUACCUUCUUGAUAUAGAAAUUCCUUAAUUAUAGUCCCAAUUGUUUGGUUGAUUGUCAUCCCC